RNAcentral lists this ribosomal RNA (435 nucleotides) under Selenops mexicanus. RNAcentral describes it as "partial 16S ribosomal RNA". The stretch from base 98 to 396 matches the Rfam family "Bacterial large subunit ribosomal RNA", at positions 2074 to 2646 of the family's 2925-position model. The record is from RNAcentral. Lineage: Eukaryota; Metazoa; Arthropoda; Arachnida; Araneae; Selenopidae.
UUUAAAUGAAGACUAGAACAAAAGAUUUCAUGUUUAAAUUUAUAUCAAUAUUUAAAUAUUCAAACUUAUCUUAAACGUAAAAAGACGUUUAUUUAAAAGAAAGACGACAAGACCCUAUUGAACUUAACUUAAGUUAAACUGGGGCAGUAAAUUAAUUAAUAUUUUAAUAUAACUAAUUUUAAAAAUUAAUCCAAUAUAAUUGAAUUAAUUAAGUUACCAUAGGGAUAACAGCGUAAUAAAUUUUUAAAGAUCAUAUAUAAAAAUAUGUUUACGACCUCGAUGUUGAAUUAAUAACCUAAUUGGAGCAAAGACUAAUAUUAGGAAGUCUGUUCGACUUUUAAAAAAUUACAUGAUUUGAGUUCAGACCGGUAUAAGCCAGGUCGGUUUCUAUCUUCUUAAAAAUUUCUUACAGUACGAAAGGGCCUAAGAAAAUAA